UCCUACGGGGCGCAGCAGUGGGGAAUAUUGCACAAUGGGGGAAACCCUGAUGCAGCGACGCCGCGUGAAGGACGAAGUAUUUCGGUACGUAAACUUCUAUCAGCAGGGAAGAAAAUGACGGUACCUGACCAAGAAGCCCCGGCUAAAUACGUGCCAGCAGCCGCGGUAAUACGUAGGGGGCAAGCGUUAUCCGGAUUUACUGGGUGUAAAGGGAGCGUAGACGGCCAGGCAAGUCUGAUGUGAAAACCCGGGGCUCAACCCCGGGACUGCAUUGGAAACUGCGCGGCUGGAGUGCCGGAGGGGCG
This 305-nucleotide ribosomal RNA is filed under the name uncultured bacterium. Its description in RNAcentral is "bacterial SSU rRNA". It matches the Rfam family "Bacterial small subunit ribosomal RNA", at positions 337 to 659 of the family's 1533-position model. The record is from RNAcentral.